Molecule: ribosomal RNA, 508 nt
Filed under: uncultured bacterium
Lineage: Bacteria
Description: partial 16S ribosomal RNA
Rfam family: Bacterial small subunit ribosomal RNA
Source: RNAcentral
UGGGGAAUUUUUGGGACAAUGGGCGAAAGCCUGAUCCAGCAAUGCCGCGUGUGUGAAGAAGGCCUUCGGGUUGUAAAGCACUUUUGUCCGGAAAGAAAUGGCUCUGGUUAAUACCUGGGGUCGAUGACGGUACCGGAAGAAUAAGGACCGGCUAACUACGUGCCAGCAGCCGCGGUAAUACGUAGGGUCCAAGCGUUAAUCGGAAUUACUGGGCGUAAAGCGUGCGCAGGCGGUUGUGCAAGACCGAUGUGAAAUCCCCGGAGCUUAACUUGGGAAUUGCAUUGGUGACUGCACGGCUAGAGUGUGUCAGAGGGGGGUAGAAUUCCACGUGUAGCAGUGAAAUGCGUAGAGAUGUGGAGGAAUACCGAUGGCGAAGGCAGCCCCCUGGGAUAACACUGACGCUCAUGCACGAAAGCGUGGGGAGCAAAACAGGAUUAGAUACCCUGGUAGUCCACGCCCUAAACGAUGUCAACUAGUUGUUGGGGGAUUCAUUUCCUUAGUAACGUAG